GUAUAAAUAAAUAAAGUUUGCUUCUUUGUUAAAUGUCUCUAGAGAGAUCGUUGGUGGUGAACCUCUUCACGACAUUCAGAGCAGAUGAGGGAUUUUCUGGCAGUGUUACACU
Molecule: long non-coding RNA, 112 nt
Organism: Melanotaenia boesemani (Boeseman's rainbowfish)
Lineage: Eukaryota; Metazoa; Chordata; Actinopteri; Atheriniformes; Melanotaeniidae
Exons: 3
Source: RefSeq, a predicted model, not a curated record